This 327-nucleotide ribosomal RNA is filed under the name Blastocystis sp. subtype 3. RNAcentral's name for it is "SSU rRNA". It matches the Rfam family "Eukaryotic small subunit ribosomal RNA", at positions 23 to 369 of the family's 1831-position model. The record is from RNAcentral. Lineage: Eukaryota; Bigyra; Opalinata; Blastocystidae.
GUCAUACGCUCGUCUCAAAGAUUAAGCCAUGCAUGUGUAAGUAUAAAUAGUUAACUUUGAAACUGCGAAUGGCUCAUUAUAUCAGUUAUAGUUUAUUUGAUGAAGAAUACUAAUUGGAUAACCGUAGUAAUUCUAGAGCUAAUACAUGUAUAAAGUCUUGUAGACUGCAUUUAUUAGAAUGAAAACCAUAGGUUUCGGCCUAUUCGUGAGUAAUAAUAACUAAUCAUAUCGUAUGCUUAAAGUAACGAUGUGUCUUUCAAGUUUCUGCCCUAUCAGCUUUCGAUGGUAGUGUAUUGGACUACCAUGGCAGUAACGGGUAACGAAGAA